UUAAUGAUUGGGCCUGGAAGUCGGCCCACUGCCGAUUGGACCCAAACUACAAAAACACCACACGGCAUCGUUUUGAUUCCCGCUUGAACUGCUUCGUUCUCCUGGUACAAUUAAAGCGUCUCUUAUCAGUCUGGUCGUAAGAACACCAUUUUUAGCAAUAAAUCCAAAAUCUGCAGAGAGAGAACAAGUUUCCAAGUGGACUCGUUCUUCACCGAUUUCCAACGAAAUUUGCUAUUCGGGAACAUUCUUGUUGCGACCUUUAAUGAGGAGAUACUGAUGUUGCAGAAAACAUUUUGAGCAAUGGGGAAGAGGAAGUCAUCGGCAAAACCGCCUCCUAAGAAGCGUUGAAUGCCGCAUGUGAGUGCCUCUGUUUGAUUUCGUGUCUGGUAUUUUGAGUUCUCUUAACCAUCUGAAGAGGAAUCCAUAACCCGGAACUAGUUCUAGGAGACCUUACUGAAUGUUAGGUUCUGCAGUUUUUUUAGUCUUGUAACUUGCUUUUAUCGUUUAUCUUCGCUUCACCGACAUGAAGAACUCGAUUGGGGAAGCUUCUUGUAGAAUAUGCCAAGAAAGCUUCAGCACCACCAUCACAGGUCUGUGCAAAACUUGGUCCCUUGAUUUGAAACUUAUAUCCCCUUUCGUUCGAGACUUGGGAGUUGAAUUUUAACUGGAUGACAUUUGUCAGUGGAGAUUCGGGUUAGCAAGAAAAAAAAUAUUAACGUAGGAACGAAGUUACAGGAUGGUUUGGCCGCCUUUGACCGCUGAUUCGCUUGUGAUGGCCUUCAACUCUUCAUCUGCCCUCGAAAUUAGGUUGUUAUGAAAAUGUCAUUUCUCAGGAAUUUAUGCGUUUCUUUUAUUGCUUUCAUCUAAUUCCGAUUUCCUCUCUGUUUGCAGCUUUAUGUGAACCGAUAGACGUAUAAGUAAAUUAUUUCCCUCUAUUUCUCUUUUUUCUCCGAACCCUAUGUCUAUCACCAAAGGGUAAUCCCCUGGUCACAUGCGCGCGCACGCAUUUAUGUGAGAGUUGCAACUCCGCAGCUACUUUUAUUCAUGACGAAAGUUGUAACUUUGCAGCUACAGCGAAUGGACUGAUGAAUGCGAGCGAGUUAACAACGUCGAAGAUGAUGGCGAUGCUUAGGAGGAAGACCUGAUGCCUAGAAAUCAAUAGUAGUUCUGAGUAGUUCCAAAUAAUUACCAAACCAUGCUUGUUAAGCAAGUUUUAAAGAUUUCAACGAAGACGUGAUGUGAACAUCUGACUUUGUAACUUUUAUGUGUUAGUUAUUUAUGCACUUAGGAUGGUCACCCACGAGGAAAGUGAUUUUACACGCUCGGGCAACUGUCACGAAGCAUGUCCCGUGGACCCGACCUGGUUAGGCAGUCUUGUCGAAGUUUCUCUUAUCUGAUGGAUGAACCGUUAAUGCUGUGGAUAUAAAGUAAAGAGAAAUAUUAUAUGGAA
Molecule: long non-coding RNA, 1450 nt
Organism: Pyrus x bretschneideri (Chinese white pear)
Lineage: Eukaryota; Viridiplantae; Streptophyta; Magnoliopsida; Rosales; Rosaceae
Exons: 2
Source: RefSeq, a predicted model, not a curated record